ACAGCGUUAUCUUCCCUGAGAGUUCUUAUUGGCGGGGAGGUUUGCGACCUCGAUGUUGGAUUAAGGUGAAUUUUCGGUGCAGGAGCUGAAAUUGAUUGGGUCUGUUCGACCUUUAAAAUCUUACAUGAUCUGAGUUCAGACCGGCGUGAGCCAGGUUGGUUUCUAUCUAUAAAUAAUUUUUAUACCUUAGUACGAGAGGACCGGGUAU
Molecule: ribosomal RNA, 208 nt
Filed under: Cornitermes cumulans
Lineage: Eukaryota; Metazoa; Arthropoda; Insecta; Blattodea; Termitidae
Description: partial 16S ribosomal RNA
Rfam family: Bacterial large subunit ribosomal RNA
Source: RNAcentral